GACGAACGCUGGCGGCGUGCUUAACACAUGCAAGUCGUACGGUAAGGCCCUUUCGGGGGUACACGAGUGGCGAACGGGUGAGUAACACGUGCGUAACCUGCCCACAACUUUGGGAUAACGCUAGGAAACUGGUGCUAAUACUGGAUAUGUGCUUCUGCUGCAUGGUGGGGGUUGGAAAGCUCCGGCGGUUGUGGAUGGACUCGCGGCCCAUCAGCUUGUUGGGGGGGUAGUGGCCUACCAAGGCGGCGACGGGUAGCCGGCCUGAGAGGGUGACCGGCCACAUUGGGACUGAGAUACGGCCCAGACUCCUACGGGGGGCAGCAGGGGGGAAUAUUGCACAAUGGGCGCAAGCCUGAUGCAGCAACGCCGCGGGCGGGAUGACGGCCUUCGGGUUGUAAACCGCUUUCAGCAGGGACGAAGCUUUUUGUGACGGUACCUGCAGAAGAAGCACCGGCUAACUACGUG
RNAcentral lists this ribosomal RNA (465 nucleotides) under uncultured bacterium. RNAcentral's name for it is "partial 16S ribosomal RNA". It matches the Rfam family "Bacterial small subunit ribosomal RNA", at positions 28 to 507 of the family's 1533-position model. The record is from RNAcentral.